UAAAAGGAGAAGUUUAAUUAAAAAUGAUUCAAAACAGACGAAAGGUAUAAGCUCUACAAAAUAUGUUAGUAUGUUUAUAGUCUCUUGAAUGGUAGCUUGAAUCGACAAAAUAGCAUAAUGCAUAUGUAUUUUUUAAGACUUUACAUACCAUAAUGCUUCAUAUAAACCCCUUCUUUUAUUAGACACCAGAAGAAUGCACCAGUAUCUUAUUAAUAAUUUGUCUUUCUUACUUUACAGUGAUCUAUCCGCAAUUUUUUAGAAACCAGGGGGUUAUUUAAUCGAAAACCUUCAUUAUAAUUUUACCUAUAAUCAUAGUAAUAACCCCCAUCCAAGUAAAUUUUAUCACUUCGUGCUAACAGGGCGGCAGACAUGCACGAAUUAACGAUCUGGGAAAUCUGUACGACAGCCGAAAACCUGAGUACCGUAGACCCGUAGUUUAAUAGAAUGAUCUACUUUCUAUUUAGUUUAUUGUGGGGCUAUCCUGCCGACGUGAAAGGGAAAAAAACAUUUUGUUGAUUUCAGCUACUGGUCUCAUGUUGUCAACAUUGGCCUUUGCAUUUAGCACAGGUUUUUAUUGGGCUUUAAUCACAAGAUUUAUUCAAGGCUCAUUUAUGGAUAUGUUUUAAACACGGAUAACUGGUUGAGAUUUACUUUACCUGGUUUGGUAGCAGUAUCGAAAUCAAUCUUGGUUGACCUUUGUGACGAUACAAAAGUAGCUAUUGGCAUGUCAUUCCUAACUACUUCGUUUACUACAGAACUAAUCUUUGGUCCAAGUGUUGCCGGAUUUUUGGCGUUUCCAACGGAAUAUUAUCCAAAUGUAUUUAAGAAAGGUAGCUAUAUUGUAUCUGUUUUUAAAAACACAUUAUUUUUACAUCAAGGAAUUCUUCUUCAAAUUUGUUGAUUUUAUUUGCAACAUUUUAGAUUCUUUGUUUGGUCUAUUUGGUAUUUUACUCCCUAACUUUAUUAUUGUUAUUGGAAUUGCUAUUUCUCUCGUCUUUAUUGAUUUCCGCCGGGUAAGGCGGAAUCUUUAAAAUCGCAUUGGAAGAUAGAGAGAUAGGGACCACCUAGAGCCUGGACGCGCGGUGUCCAAGAUAAAGUAUUUACCCUGGGCUUGGAAAUUGUUCAAUUUCUUAAAAGCCAAUAGAAAUGCGUUAUUUGAUUUUUUAGCCAAUAGGAUCUUAGAUUGUCUGAAUUUGACAUUCAUGGCUUCCUGCGAGGUUUUUUUUCGAAGUUCUUCUAGUUCUAGGUCCCACAGGCCAAAGUUUCUUGCCCAAAAUAGUCGGUUACCGUUUGUCUUGAUAUGUUUAAAACUCCAAAUCAUUUUUUGGCAAAACAGGAUGUUUGGUGGUUUGGUCGAUGAGAGUUCUCAGGAAAAAAAAAUUCUGUAUCUUUUAAGCUAGCUAGUUUGUUACUUAGCUAUGUUAAAGUGAUUUACAUUUGCGAUUCUUCAGAGUGUUUAAAGCUCUUAUUUAAGCUACGCAAUUCCCUAGCAUUUCUGCCCAACUAUAAAACAGCCUUCCUUAUAUGUAGUUAGGGAUCAAACCCAUUACCUUUUUUCAAAUAUCUGGUGAGCAAGUGAAUGACUUACAGUUUGGGAACCAAAACUGAUGAUUAAUAGCCUAAAAGGUGCAGUAGUUUUCAGGAAGGUUUGACUGGUUUAAGCCACAUUUGCAUGUAUGGACUAUUGCAAAUAAAGUUUCACAUAAAGAACGUAAAAUAAGUUUUGUCUUAUAUUUAACAUGACCAUCGUUAAAAUGCAACAUCAGCAGCAGAUCAGAAUUACAAACUUUUACAGGCAAAUCUACAGUGAAUUUUUCUGAUAAUAUUCUUUAUGAACUUUGUGAAAAGGGCUGUGUACUUUUUUCUAUUAAGAUAACAAGUCCUUCAUUAAUCGUUCAUUUUGUUUUGUAGACGAAUAUUCAAAAAAAAACAUUUUUUUCAAAUUUGAAUCCUAAAUCGAACAUUUUUUCUUAUAUAUUUUGGCCUAUGGACCGUUACGUUGUGUUACAAGCAAAAAUUUUUGCUCUAAUAACACCGUAAAUACGAGCUUAAUUUGCAUGUAAGUGUGUCGUAACUUAUACGUAAAAAACAUAUGAAUGCAGCUUUAAAAAAGCACCAAGUAUACUGUAUUUACUCUAACAGAUUCCCUGUUAUUCCCACCUCAAGUAAUCCCGCCUUUUUUACCAUGGUUUGUAAAAAAUAUUUCUGCCUUUUCAAAAUUUGCAUACAUUAUCUGUGAAAGAAAUUUUUGUGGAACAAAAUGAAGUUUAGUCAAAAUGAAGUUUAGUCUUUCUAGGGCUUUCAAUAUAUGAAAGUAAAAUUUUCAAUAAGCGCCAAGUUUCUCAAUGUGGUUUUCGAUUAGG
Hydractinia symbiolongicarpus is the source of this 2363-nucleotide long non-coding RNA. RefSeq lists it as uncharacterized. The record is from RefSeq and is a predicted model, not a curated record. The transcript has 3 exons. NCBI's taxonomy places the organism in Eukaryota, Metazoa, Cnidaria, Hydrozoa, Anthoathecata, Hydractiniidae.